RNAcentral lists this ribosomal RNA (466 nucleotides) under uncultured bacterium. Its description in RNAcentral is "partial 16S ribosomal RNA". The stretch from base 20 to 330 matches the Rfam family "Bacterial small subunit ribosomal RNA", at positions 47 to 358 of the family's 1533-position model. The record is from RNAcentral.
GAUGAACGCUGGCGGCGUGCUUAACACAUGCAAGUCGAACGGAAAGGCCACAGCUUGCUGUGGUACUCGAGUGGCGAACGGGUGAGUAACACGUGGGUGAUCUGCCCUGUACUUCGGGAUAAGCUUGGGAAACUGGGUCUAAUACCGGAUAGGAAUCACAUGUGGGUGUGUGGUUGGAAAGCUUUUGCGGUAUGGGAUGAGCUCGCGGCCUAUCAGCUUGUUGGUGGGGUAAUGGCCUACCAAGGCGUCGACGGGUAGCCGGCCUGAGAGGGUGUACGGCGAAAGUGGGAGGAAGAGAGGGCAAAGGGGACUAGGGGAGGCAGGAGUGGGGAAGAGGGAAGAAGGGGCGGAAGGAUGGUGCAGCCAAGAGGAGAGCGGGAAGACGGCAGGGGGGGUGGAAACAGAAGUCGCCCGUGACGAAGCGUGAGUGACGGCAAUGGGAAAAGACGAACAGGCUAAAGAAGUG